AUUGAACGCUGGCGGCAGGCCUAACACAUGCAAGUCGAACGGUAACAGGAAGCAGCUUGCUGCUUUGCUGACGAGUGGCGGACGGGUGAGUAAUGUCUGGGAAACUGCCCGAUGGAGGGGGAUAACUACUGGAAACGGUAGCUAAUACCGCAUAACGUCGCAAGACCAAAGAGGGGGACCUUAGGGCCUCUUGCCAUCGGAUGUGCCCAGAUGGGAUUAGCUAGCAGGUGGGGUAACGGCUCACCUAGGCGACGAUCCCUAGCUGGUCUGAGAGGAUGACCAGCCACACUGGAACUGAGACACGGUCCAGACUCCUACGGGAGGCAGCAGUGGGGAAUAUUGCACAAUGGGCGCAAGCCUGAUGCAGCCAUGCCGCGUGUAUGAAGAAGGCCUUCGGGUUGUAAAGUACUUUCAGCGGGGAGGAAGGGAGUAAAGUUAAUACCUUUGCUCAUUGACGUUACCCGCAGAAGAAGCACCGGCUAACUCCGUG
RNAcentral lists this ribosomal RNA (490 nucleotides) under uncultured bacterium. Its description in RNAcentral is "partial 16S ribosomal RNA". It matches the Rfam family "Bacterial small subunit ribosomal RNA", at positions 30 to 507 of the family's 1533-position model. The record is from RNAcentral.